UACGGGGGGCAGCAGUGGGGAAUAUUGCACAAUGGGCGGAAGCCUGAUGCAGCAACGCCGCGUGCGGGAUGACGGCCUUCGGGUUGUAAACCGCUUUCGCCUGUGACGAAGCGUGAGUGACGGUAAUGGGUAAAGAAGCACCGGCUAACUACGUGCCAGCAGCCGCGGUAA
RNAcentral lists this ribosomal RNA (171 nucleotides) under uncultured bacterium. Its description in RNAcentral is "partial 16S ribosomal RNA". It matches the Rfam family "Bacterial small subunit ribosomal RNA", at positions 340 to 523 of the family's 1533-position model. The record is from RNAcentral.